UACACUGUUUUAACAGAAUAUUUUCAUUUGUUCCAAGUAAGUAAAAGGGUUUGGGAAGAAGAAAAAACUGGCUUUUUUCAAGUGAUCCACCUACCUCAGCCUCCCAGAGUUCUGGGAUUACAUGCAUGAGCCACCUGGCCUGGCCAAAAGUGGCUGACUUUGAGAAAUUAACAAGAAUAUGCCACAAUAACCACCUUGCUUAGUAUAUGCCAAGCACUUCUAUGCACUUUACAAGUGGAUGAAGAAACUAAUGACAGAGAUGUUAGCUAACUUGCUCAAGUUAGUAAGUGGGCAAGCUAGGAUUUGAACCUAGACAGCCUGGCCCCAGAGUCCAUGAUGUUACGCAUUAUGCAUACUGCUUUGCUAUAAAUGGGCAUAUUCAUCAUUUGAUUGUUCUCUUAAGACUCUGUCUCAGAUUAGGUAACAUUUACAGUUUAAGAAAUGUCUUCCAUUUUAGAUGUUUAUCAAAGGUCUUUUAUGGGGAAGAAAGUAAAUG
This 496-nucleotide long non-coding RNA is filed under the name Pan troglodytes (chimpanzee). RNAcentral describes it as "long non-coding RNA NONPTRT001174". Lineage: Eukaryota; Metazoa; Chordata; Mammalia; Primates; Hominidae. The record is from RNAcentral.